CGGUAGCCCAGAGGUGGGGGAUAACGCAGCGAAAGCUGUGCUAAUACCGCAUGUGAUCUGAGGAUGAAAGCGGGGGACCAAGCAGCAAUGUUUGGCCUCGCGCCUCUGGAGCGGCCGAUGUCAGAUUAGGUAGUUGGUGGGGUAAAGGCCUACCAAGCCGACGAUCUGUAGCUGGUCUGAGAGGACGACCAGCCACACUGGGACUGAGACACGGCCCAG
This 219-nucleotide ribosomal RNA is filed under the name uncultured bacterium. RNAcentral describes it as "partial 16S ribosomal RNA". It matches the Rfam family "Bacterial small subunit ribosomal RNA", at positions 119 to 334 of the family's 1533-position model. The record is from RNAcentral.